AUUGAACGCUGGCGGCAUGCUUUACACAUGCCAGUCGAACGGCAGCGCGGGCUUCGGCCUGGCGGCGAGUGGCGAACGGGUGAGUAAUGCAUCGGAACGUGCCCAGUAGUGGGGGAUAGCCCGGCGAAAGCCGGAUUAAUACCGCAUACGACCUGAGGGUGAAAGCGGGGGACCGAAAGGCCUCGCGCUAUUGGAGCGGCCGAUGUCGGAUUAGCUAGUUGGUGGGGUAAAGGCUUACCAAGGCGACGAUCCGUAGCUGGUCUGAGAGGACGACCAGCCACACUAGGACUGAGACACGGCCCAGACUCCUACGGGAGGCAGCAGUGGGGAAUUUUGGACAAUGGGGGCAACCCUGAUCCAGCCAUGCCGCGUGCGGGAAGAAGGCCUUCGGGUUGUAAACCGCUUUUGUUCGGGAAGAAAUCCUCUGGGCUAAUACCCCGGGGGGAUGACGGUACCGGAAGAAUAAGCACCGGCUAACUACGUG
Molecule: ribosomal RNA, 484 nt
Filed under: uncultured bacterium
Lineage: Bacteria
Description: partial 16S ribosomal RNA
Rfam family: Bacterial small subunit ribosomal RNA
Source: RNAcentral